RNAcentral lists this ribosomal RNA (305 nucleotides) under uncultured bacterium. RNAcentral's name for it is "bacterial SSU rRNA". It matches the Rfam family "Bacterial small subunit ribosomal RNA", at positions 336 to 656 of the family's 1533-position model. The record is from RNAcentral.
CUCCUACGGGAGGCAGCAGUGGGGAAUAUUGGGCAAUGGACGCAAGUCUGACCCAGCAACGCCGCGUGAAGGAAGAAGGCUUUCGGGUUGUAAACUUCUUUUAAGGGGGAAGAGUAGAAGACGGUACCCCUUGAAUAAGCCACGGCUAACUACGUGCCAGCAGCCGCGGUAAUACGUAGGUGGCAAGCGUUGUCCGGAUUUACUGGGUGUAAAGGGCGUGCAGCCGGAGAGACAAGUCAGAUGUGAAAUCCACGGGCUCAACCGGAGUAGUGCAUUGGAAACUGGGAGACUUGAGUGCAGAAGAG